RNAcentral lists this ribosomal RNA (508 nucleotides) under uncultured bacterium. RNAcentral's name for it is "bacterial SSU rRNA". It matches the Rfam family "Bacterial small subunit ribosomal RNA", at positions 30 to 518 of the family's 1533-position model. The record is from RNAcentral.
CGAACGCUGGCGGCGUGCUUAACACAUGCAAGUCGAACGCGAAAGGGACUUCGGUCCUGAGUAAAGUGGCGCACGGGUGAGUAACGCGUAGAUAACCUGUCUUCAUGUCUGGAAUAAUACGCCGAAAGGGGUACUAAUACCGGAUAUUCUUGCUCUUCAUAAGUUAUGCAAGCAAAGGUGGCCUCUGCAUAUGCUACUGCAUGAAGAGGGGUCUGCGUACCAUUAGCUAGUAGGUGGGGUAAUGGCCUACCUAGGCGACGAUGGUUAGCGGGUCUGAGAGGAUGAUCCGCCACACUGGCACUGGAACACGGGCCAGACUCCUACGGGAGGCAGCAGUGAGGAAUAUUGCGCAAUGGGGGAAACCCUGACGCAGCGACGCCGCGUGAGUGAGGAAGGCCUUCGGGUCGUAAAGCUCUGUCAAGAGGAAAGAAGUGUACAAUGGCUAAUACCUGUUGUAUUUGACGGUACCUCUAAAGGAAGCACCGGCUAACUCCGUGCCAGCCGCCGC